This 253-nucleotide ribosomal RNA is filed under the name uncultured bacterium. Its description in RNAcentral is "partial 16S ribosomal RNA". It matches the Rfam family "Bacterial small subunit ribosomal RNA", at positions 524 to 776 of the family's 1533-position model. The record is from RNAcentral.
UACGUAGGGUGCAAGCGUUGUCCGGAAUUAUUGGGCGUAAAGAGCUCGUAGGCGGUCUGUCGCGUCUGCUGUGAAAACUCGGGGCUUAACCCCGGGCCUGCAGUGGGUACGGGCAGACUAGAGUGCGGUAGGGGAGACUGGAAUUCCUGGUGUAGCGGUGAAAUGCGCAGAUAUCAGGAAGAACACCCGUGGCUAAGGCGGUUCUCUAGUACGGUACUGACGCUGAGACGCGAAAGCGUGGGGAGCAAACAGG